CGGUAACUUUAGCUCCAAUAGCGUAUACUAAAGUUGUUGCAGUUAAAAAGCUCGUAGUUGGAUUUCUGCGGGGACGGAGCGGCCGGACGCAACUUGCGUCUCGAGCUAGCGCUUUCCCCGCAUCCUGCCGCGAACCGUGCUACCAUUAGUUUGGUGGCGCUGGGGAUCGGCUCGAUUACUUUGAGAAAAAUAGAGUGUUCAAAGCAGGCCACACGCCUUGAAUAAGUUAGCAUGGAAUAAUGACUAAGGACUUUGGUUCUUUUCGUUGGUGUUCGGGACUGAAGUAAUGAUUGAUAGGGACAGUUGGGGCGGUCCGUAUUCCAAAGCGAGAGGUGAAAUCCUUAGACCUUCGGAAGACGAACAGCUGCGAAAGCGUUCCGCAAGGAUGUUCCCUUUGAUCAAGAACGAAAGUUGGGGGAUCGAAGACGAUCAGAUACCGUCGUAGUCUCAACUAUAAACUAUACCAGCUAGGGAUCGGCCAACGUUUAAUUAUUCGACUUGGUCGGCACCUUAUGAGAAAUCAAAGCAUCUGGGUUCCGGGGGGAGUAUGGUCGCAAGGCUGAAACUUAAAGGAAUUGACGGAAGGGCACCACCAGGCGUGGAGCCUGUGGCUUAAUUUGACUCAACACGGGAAAACUUACCAGGUCCAGACAUAGGAAGGAUUGACAGAUUGAUAGCUCUUUCUUGAUUCUGUGGGUGGUGGUGCAUGGCCGUUUUUAGUCGGUGAAGUGAUUUGUCUGCUUAAUUGCGUUAACGGACGAGACCCCAGCCUGCUAAAUAACGCGGCCGAGCUUUGCUCGGUACGAGCUUCUUAGAGGGACCAUGAUGCGCGAUAGCACAAGGAAGUUUGGGGCAACAACAGGUCUGUGAUGCCCUUAGAUGUUCUGGGCCGCACACGGGCUACACUGGCGCCUGCAACGAGCAUAUCAGCUGGCCCGAGAGGGUCUUGGCUAAUCUUUGGAACCGGCGCCGUGCUUGGGGUUGACCAUUGCAAUUGUUGGUCAUGCAACGAGGAAUGCCUUGUAAACGCGAGUCAUCAGCUCGCAUUGAAUACGUCCCUGCCCUUUGUACACACCGCCCGUCGCUCCUACCGAUGAAUGUUCCGAUGAAAUUUUCGGAGAGCGCCGGAGAACGGGGCUCUGCCCUGCAGAACUGGAGGCUCAAAGUCACUUAAAUCUGAACAUUUCGAGGAAGGAGAAGUCGUAACAAGGUAACC
Molecule: ribosomal RNA, 1216 nt
Filed under: uncultured Rhizaria
Lineage: Eukaryota
Description: SSU rRNA
Rfam family: Eukaryotic small subunit ribosomal RNA
Source: RNAcentral